UACGUAGGGUGCGAGCGUUAAUCGGAAUUACUGGGCGUAAAGCGUGCGCAGGCGGUUUUGCAAGCCGGAUGUGAAAUCCCCGGGCUUAACCUGGGAAUGGCAUUUGGGACUGCAAGGCUGGAGUGCGGCAGAGGAGACUGGAAUUCCUGGUGUAGCAGUGAAAUGCGUAGAUAUCAGGAGGAACACCGAUGGCGAAGGCAGGUCUCUGGGCUGACACUGACGCUCAUGCACGAAAGCGUGGGGAGCGAACAGG
Molecule: ribosomal RNA, 253 nt
Filed under: uncultured bacterium
Lineage: Bacteria
Description: partial 16S ribosomal RNA
Rfam family: Bacterial small subunit ribosomal RNA
Source: RNAcentral